Molecule: long non-coding RNA, 748 nt
Organism: Saccostrea cuccullata (small rock oyster)
Lineage: Eukaryota; Metazoa; Mollusca; Bivalvia; Ostreida; Ostreidae
Exons: 3
Source: RefSeq, a predicted model, not a curated record
AAAAAGGAAAGAUAAUACCAAACAGAAACACAAAGUACAAGAUUUAAAAAAUCACAGAACGAAUCAGGAAGGAAACUGGAACAAAUCCUAUAAUAACUGUAAAAACUACAAACAAGAAAACUGAAAAACCAUGGAUAUGGGAAGUCCGACUUUGUUUUGAUAUUACCUUCAAGAUAAAGGAUUGCGAAACAAAAAAUAAUGAUGAAGAAAAUACUAAAAUUGUUUAUCCACAUGACGAAUCUUGGCAGACACAUCCAAAAAAAAUUUGCAAGAACAAGACAUCUUUGUGAAUAUACAUCAAUUUUAACUCGUUUGAGAAGUGAAAUAUCAAUUCAUAUAAUUAUAGUUGCUUUAUCUAUCUUAUACAAUUUUCGCUUUGACAAAAUUAUGCAACAUUGAGACAGAGAGAGACAGAUAAUAUUCAAUAUUAAUGUGUAAUUUUUAUUAUGAUUAUUUUAAUUUUUAUAUGUGUCUGUAGACAUUUCCCGGCCGUGAUUAUACUUAGACAAGAAGAUGGAAAGAUGCAUCAAAAUUAGUAUUGUGCUGUCAUAGAUUUUAUUGAACAGAUAAAUGUAAGAGAGAGAGAGAGAGAGAGAGAGAGAGAGAGAGAGAGAGAGAGAGAGAGAGAGAGAGAGAGAGAGAGAGAGAGAGAAGGAAUGUUAUCGUCAGCAUGUAUAUUAUGAAGUAAGUGUAAUAUAGUUUACUAUUUGUUUCAAAUAAAUCUUUCUUAACUGCAGGAAAAAAUUAA